RNAcentral lists this ribosomal RNA (465 nucleotides) under uncultured bacterium. RNAcentral describes it as "partial 16S ribosomal RNA". It matches the Rfam family "Bacterial small subunit ribosomal RNA", at positions 338 to 795 of the family's 1533-position model. The record is from RNAcentral.
CCUACGGGAGGCAGCAGUAGGGAAUCUUCCACAAUGGGCGCAAGCCUGAUGGAGCAACGCCGCGUGGGUGAAGAAGGUCUUCGGAUCGUAAAACCCUGUUGUUAGAGAAGAAAGUGCGUGAGAGUAACUGUUCACGUUUCGACGGUAUCUAACCAGGAAGCCACGGCUAACUACGUGCCAGCAGCCGCGGUAAUACGUAGGUGGCAAGCGUUAUCCGGAUUUAUUGGGCGUAAAGGGAACGCAGGCGGUCUUUUAAGUCUGAUGUGAAAGCCUUCGGCUUAACCGGAGUAGUGCAUUGGAAACUGGGAGACUGGAGUGCAGAAGAGGAGAGUGGAACUCCAUGUGUAGCAGUGAAAUGCGUAGAUAUAUGGAAGAACACCAGUGGCGAAAGCGACUCUCUGGUCUGUAACUGACGCUGAGGUUCGAAAGCGUGGGUAGCAAACAGGAUUAGAUACCCUUGUAGUC